Molecule: ribosomal RNA, 1356 nt
Filed under: Lethe syrcis
Lineage: Eukaryota; Metazoa; Arthropoda; Insecta; Lepidoptera; Nymphalidae
Description: 16S ribosomal RNA
Source: RNAcentral
GGGGAAAAAUUAAUAAAAAUAAAAUUAAUAAAAUAAAUUUUAAAAUUAAAAAUAUAAUAAUGGGGGUUAAAGUAUUUUUAAAAGAAAAAAUUUGAAAUUUUAUAGGGGAGUAAGUAUUGUAGGGGAAAUUUGAAAUAAGUUAAAAAUUAAUUAUAAUAAAAGAAAAUUUAAUUUAUUGUAUCUUGUGUAUCAGAGUUUAUUAAAUAAAUUUUUUAAAAAAAAAAAUCUCGAAUUUAAAAGAACUAAUUAAUUAUAAAAGUUAAUGUGACAUAAUUAUUUUAAAUAAUUAAUUAGAAAUGAAAUGUUAAUCGUUUUUAAAUAUAUCUAGUUAUUUUAGAAAAAAAUUUAAUUUUAAAUUUAAAUAAUUUUAUAAUUUAAUAAUAUAAUUAUAAAAAUAUAAAUUUAAUAUUUUAAGGGAUAAGCUUUAAAUUAAAAAUUUAUAAUAAAAAUAAAUAAAAUUAAGAUUUUUAAAAUUUAUAUUGUUUAAAAAUUAUAAUUUAUUAUAAAAAAUUUUAAUAAAAAUAAAAUUUAAUAUAAAAAAAAUUUAAAUUUUUAUAAAAUAAUAAUUUUUAAUAAUAAAAAAUUAGUAAAAAUGAUAAAAUUAGUAUAAAAAUAAUAAAAAAAAAUAAAUAUAAGAUUAAAAUUAAUUAAAAGGAAUUCGGCAAAUAGGGUAUUCACUUGUUUAUCAAAAACAUGUCUUUUUGAUUAUAAUUUAAAGUCUAAUCUGCCCACUGAUAAAUAUUAAAGGGCUGCAGUAUAUUGACUGUACAAAGGUAGCAUAAUCAUUAGUUUUUUAAUUGAAAACUUGUAUGAAGGAUUUGAUGAAAUAUAAACUGUCUCUUAAUUAUUAUUAAAAAUUUAUUUUUUAGUUAAAAAGCUAAAAUAAUUUUAAAAGACGAGAAGACCCUAUAGAGUUUUAUAUUUUAUUUAUUAUAAAAAUUAUAUAAAAAUUAAAAUUAAUAGUAAGUUAAAAUUAAUAGUAAGUAAAAUAUUUUAUUGGGGUGAUAGAAAAAUUAAAGUAACUUUUUUUAAAAAUUAAUCAUUAAUAAAUGAAUAAAUGAUCCAUUAUUUAUGAUUAUAAGAAAAAAUUACCUUAGGGAUAACAGCGUAAUAUUUUUUUUUAGUUCAAAUAAAAAGAAAAGUUUGCGACCUCGAUGUUGGAUUAAGAUAAAAUUUAAAUGUAAAUGUUUAAAAUUUUGAUCUGUUCGAUCAUUAAAAUCUUACAUGAUCUGAGUUCAAACCGGUGUAAGCCAGGUUGGUUUCUAUCUUUAAAAAAUAAAAAUAUUUUAGUACGAAAGGAUCAAAUAUUAAAAAUAAUUUUAUUAGGGGAAUAUUAUUAAUUUAAAUUUAAAGUUA